GAUGUUCCUUAAUUGUUGUGGGAUCAAAUGAAUACCAUGUGCGAAAGAGCUGUCUAAUCUGAGGUGAGAGGCACAGGUGAGGUGAGAGGCGCAGGUAAGAUUAAUCACAAGGAUGGGGGUUCUUCAGUGUGCUCAUGGGAUGCUCCCAUCUGCCCUGGCUUCUGCAGAGCAGCUCUAGCUUAGGGACAUUUUCUACCAGUGCCACAUACUUUCCCUUCUGUAUAAAAUGGUCAGAGGGAUCAGCCCUUAGGACUCCCUAAUGCCUCAGUGAUAGAAACCCACCCUCCAAAAUUGCGCCCUCACCACUUUGAGAAUGUUGCGUUUAGAGAACAAUUGUCUUCACGUGUUCAACAUUGUCCUGUUAUUUAUGAGGUUUUCAACCACCUGGAAGCCAGGCAAAUACUGACCCAAGCUCGGAACUGUGCGCUGACCCAAGGACAAAAGAUCUCUCCAGGAGGAACUUAGGCCUUAUUACCCGUAACCUGCAGUGUAUGAGGAAGUUUGUUUUCCAACUGUGCCUGCCGAAAGUAUUCUCCAUAUGCAUUCCCUGGGCCUGUUGGUUACCAAGAUGGGGACCCUUGAAAGUCCAGUGUGGCUUAGUCUUGAUUUCAAAGAGGCAAAUGAAGAGGUCUCAUAUGGCUGAAAUCAAGACGUUGGAUGGCUGUGUCAUCUUCAGGAGGUUUGACUGGGGAAAGACCCACUUCCAAGCCCAUUUAGAUUACACAUUCCAGGACAGGAAAUUCCUCCUCUCCCUGGAGAGAUCUGCUUACAUUCUAGAGGAAAGAAGAAUUGGGACAAUAACACAGAUCAGGAAAAGCGAAUAGACAAGGAGAAUCUUAAGAAAUGACUCCCUAGAUCCAGCCCACACUCCGAGGGAGGGGAUUAUACAAGGAAGUGAAUACCAGACAGUGUGGAUUAUUUGUGGCCAUCCCAGAGGACUGGGGACAAAGGUCAGUUUUGAGCAUGCAGAUGAGGGCAAUGCAGUAGGAUUGGGUGAAGAAACAGAUUGGAAGUAACUGGGUUUCUGAAUGACCACAUGGAGCCAAGUUGCCUGCCAACCUGCUCUGCUGACUCCAGACUGUGAUGUGAGAAAUAAGCCACUGAAUUAUUACUGGGUCCCUGUGACAGCAGCCUAGCUUUUACCCCUGCUAAUACACUUACCAAGUUAAGUAACCUCUUUGAGUGUCACUUUCGUUAUCUGUAAAGGGAGAAUAAUGUUGAUACAUCCCUUGGAAGGCUGUGGUGAUAAAUAUACAAGAUAAUCCAGACAAAGUGCUUGGUCCAGUGCCCUUCUCAUGGUAAUUUUUUAAAUAAGUGGUUUCUACUAGAAUUAAGAAUGAAGAUAAUUCCAUCUUUGGUUUGGAUGAUGCAUAUAGAGCUAGGAAAGCAGAUGGAGUUGGUGAACUGACAGAAAGACCUGAACUGAUUGAAACAGACUUGCCAUGAGUGGAACCCUAGUAUUCAUAUUUUUUAAAAGUUCCCCAGAUAGCUCUGGUGAGUACCUUGGUUUGGAUACACGUACUUUAUAUUGGCUAUGUAUGUCAUAUAGUAUUCCAUUAAUUAAAUGCCUUAAUGCUUUCCUUUGAGAGAAAGAUCAAUCUAGAAUUCCUGAUAUUCCCAUAAGUGCUAGAAAAGGGAAGUAUAAUAGGCCAAAUUACUCAUAUUCAAUGAAACACAUUUCUUGUUGACACUGAUGUCGAAAACAAACAAACAAAAAAACUGCAUGAGAGACUUCUAUUUGGGGCGGUAUUAUCAUCUACAUUCUCCAAAGAUUCUUCUUAUUAGAUCCUGCAAAAGACUUGAGUUUUCUGGCACUUCUGGGCUCAGGAGAUAAGGGAAAUCUUCAAGCCCAUAAAUCCAACCCAAGCAAACAAAGCUGUGAGCUGAAACUUGGGAGGUGGGUUGCGAGCAGACACGUUGAGUGAGGCUGCCUUACAUGCUAAAUCAGCACCGAGACAAGGAGACCGACUCCUGAGUCUGCUUACAGUUGAGGGGAUGAGCCUGAGGCUCCAGGUGAAGCUGGAGAUCCUGAAGGGAGCCAAAUCGGUCCCAGAUCAGUGGUGUCCUUGGGCUAUUGGCUGAAGCAAAUGUGAAUCAUCUCUGGAGGAGAGCAUGCCCCACAUAAGGGCCUAGGAGUUCAAGGGAUAAAGAUAAACCAAAUAUGAGCUGAUAAGUGAAGACCAACAAACACACAAGGGAACACGCCCUCACAAGUGAAGAAAGAAACCCAAAGGACAUCAGAUACUGCAGUUCUCAUUUUCCAAACAACAUAACUCUGUAGACAGUUUGUUUUUUAAAAAAACAGCCUUAUUGAGAUAUACUUCACAUACUGUACAAUUUACCCUUUUAACCCAUUUAAAGUGAGCAAGUCAAUGGUUUUUAGUAUAUUCACAGAUAUGUGCAAGCAUCACCAGAGUCAAUUUUAGAACAUUUUCAUCACCUCAAAAAAAAAAUUCCAUAUCCUUUAGCUGUCAUCACUGUCUCCUGUUUCCUGCCCCCCCCUAGUUUAGGCAACCACUGGUCUAGUUUCCAUCUCUAGAGACCUCCCUAUUCUGGACUUUCAUAUGAAUGAAAUCAUAGAGUAUGUGGUCUUUUGUGACUGGCUUCUUUCACUCAGCAUAAUGUUUUCAAGGUUCAUCUACAUUGUAGUAUAUAUCAGUAUGUCUUUCCUUUUUGUGGCUGAAUAAUAUUCUGUACAUUUCGUUGUAUGACUAUACCAGAUUUUGUUU
Equus caballus (horse) is the source of this 2729-nucleotide long non-coding RNA. Lineage: Eukaryota; Metazoa; Chordata; Mammalia; Perissodactyla; Equidae. The record is from Ensembl.